UUGCUAAUAUAGUUGUCAUAUAUGGCUUGUGUCUACCAAAAUGUAAAUUUUGUUUUCAUUAAUGCAUUUUGUGAAUUUGUACCUCUAUCUUGAUAUUUUCGUUCUUGCAAGAUUGCAUAUGCGAAUCCAUUCAGUGUCAUGUAGAGCUGUCUAUGAGUGUUGAUGCUUGCACCUUGCUAGUUACAAUACACCUUUCCUCUGGAAAUAUUUUCAUGAAUCUUUCUCUUAUUCUUCCAUGUCUAAAAAUGCACCAAAUUAUAUUGCUUUCACUGAACCCAUUCUACACUACAGAUUGGGAUAGAGUCUUAGUUGCAUUGAAAUUUUACAGAUCCUAGUCUUAGUUGUAUUGGACUAUUACAUUAAUCUUUUUUAUCGGUUUUACAAUAGGUCAUACUAAGAGGUAGCACCUCUGCAAGUGAUAAUUGUUUCUGACUAAAGCUAGGUGAUGAUUUUGAUCUUAGGUAGGCCAGUUUCGCGUUCAUCUCAUACCAAAAUUCAGGCAUUUCACUCUUUUACCUAGUUGUUGGUUUUAGCACAUACAAAGUUCUACCACGGUGUGAUCUGAAAACUCAAACUGACAUUUGACAUUUUGGCAUCAUAAUUUCAAAGCAGAUCAUAAUUAAUCAUUUCUCAAUUGACCUUAAAACUGAAAGCAAAUUUCAUAAAGCCAAACAGUUUUGUUCUUUCACCUCAACUUUAAUUAAAGCCAAGAUUUUCCAUUUAGUUUUUGUCCUCUGAUUUGAUGGAAGGAUACUAGAAGGUUACACACACACACGCGCACACUCUGAUUCCAUAAUUAUGUUAGAUUGGAAGGUUUCUAUUACUCAAUAAACUAGAUUACAUUCCAAGCCAAACUUAAAUAGCAAUGCCUAAGUACUUGCAGUGUAGGAAAACUGCUAACUGCAUUUUUCAAAAACUUUUAUAAGAGCAACGUUAUUCUAGUAUAUAUUUGUGUAUAAAAGGAAAGCAGAAUCUGGUUUCACAAUCCAUUUUUUGUAUAAUCAGUUUUGCCUUUUCUUUGUGUUAUGAUUGCAUAAAAUCCAUGUUCUUCCUCAACCCAAAAUUUACAUCUCAGCAUAAAUAUUUACACACAUGAAAGGGUGUUCUGUAUAGCAUGUCUUUUAUACAUAACUUUUUUGCAAUAUGUUCAUAGUGCUUUCCAAUCCAGAAAAUCAAUUGGCUUUAUGUUCAUAGUUGUCUUAUGAACUCACUGUUCUUGGAACUUGAUUGGGAUUUUACUUUGCAAUUUUCUGGUUGUUCUCAAUUUUUAUUUGUUUAAUUCUAAAUUUACCUGGUGUGACUAUAUAUCCAAGUAUACUCCUAUAUCAGGUCCAGAUUCCAAGGGAUAUUUUGACUUAUUAAUUAAGGUGUUGUCAAGGCAUGACUAUAUUUCAUGUUUCUUUCCUUUUAUCGAAACUGUAUAUAGGUGUAUCCAGAAGGGAAAAUGAGCCAGCAUUUUGCAAGCUUAAAACCAGGAGAUGUAGUCUAAGUGAAGGGGUAACCUAUAUUUACCAGUGGCAAUGAUAGGUAGAGGAUACACUCUAAGUUAUCUUAUAAUGAGGUGUAUCUUUUCUUGCAGACCCAUUGAAUAACUGAGAUAUGUUUCCAACAUGAAGAAUCAUAUUGGCAUGAUUGCAGGUGGUUCUGGUAUUACUCCAAUGCUUCAGGUCAUUCACUCUACACUAAAAAAUCUUGAUGACACAACCAAGGUGAGUCUAACUGGGCCAGCGAUAAGUGUCAGAAGGAGAAGAGGAAGCAUGCACUUAUCCUGCAUUUUCAAAGGAGAAAGCGAGUGCACUAGUGUUGCCCACUGCCACAUUUGUCAAUUUGUCCUAAGAAAUGUAUUAGUUUCAUAAGCUUUUGAUGUUCAAGUAGAUAGGGCAUGUACUAGAAUGCUUUUCUUAUUUUAAUGUUGGCUUGGA
Molecule: long non-coding RNA, 1922 nt
Organism: Rosa rugosa (rugosa rose)
Lineage: Eukaryota; Viridiplantae; Streptophyta; Magnoliopsida; Rosales; Rosaceae
Exons: 3
Source: RefSeq, a predicted model, not a curated record